Schistosoma mattheei is the source of this 45-nucleotide non-coding RNA. The record is from Rfam. Lineage: Eukaryota; Metazoa; Platyhelminthes; Trematoda; Strigeidida; Schistosomatidae.
AUCCAGCUGACGAGUCCCAAAUAGGACGAAACGCUCGUCCUAAAU